This 1661-nucleotide unclassified non-coding RNA is filed under the name Hevea brasiliensis (rubber tree). Lineage: Eukaryota; Viridiplantae; Streptophyta; Magnoliopsida; Malpighiales; Euphorbiaceae. The record is from RNAcentral.
GAUCAAACCAUACCACUCUCAUUAAGUGUAUAGUGAGCUUAGCUGGAAUUCAAGUCUUUCAGUAUCAAUACGAAGAAAAUCUUCUGCAUCAUAGAAUGUAUCUGAAGUCUUCACUACAAUUAUUUAUUUGCCUCAGCCUAAUACUACAAGACCUCAAAUGAUGAGGUAAAACUUAUUUCCUAGUUUCAGGCUAAAACUCUGGAAAUGCACCAAAUCAUUCUAUGAAAUUAUUGAUGUCCUAAAAUCAUAACUAACUAGUAGUGGAGAACUUGAACAGCAUGUAAUGCUUGUAAGACUUCCCAGGAUUCACAAUCUGUGAAGGGAAAUUAGGGUGAUUCACAGCAUCAGGAUAUCCUUGAGUCUCCAGGCAAAGAGCUGCAUGAGGUUUAUAUACAAAUCCACCUUUGCCCUUCUGGUUCAAAGUGUUGCUUGUAUAGAAUUGGACACCAGGUUGAUUUGAGAACAGCUCUAACACUCUUCCAGACUUCUUAUCCUUUACAAUUGCUACUUUCUUCAUUUUCUUCUUUUCACUGCCAUCAAGGGCAUAAUUGAUAUCAUAGCCAUUAGCUAGUUGCUUGAUCCUGCUUCCAAUGGUGUUGGGUUCAAGGAAAUCGUAUGGUGUUCCUUUCACAGAUUCAAUUUUUCCAGUAGGAAUAAGCUGGCUAUCAACAGGAGUGUAUUGGGAAGCAAAGAUCUGAAUUUCUUCGGACAGAAUAUCACCACUGUUUUGGCCACCCAAGUUCCAGUAGGCAUGUUGGGCUAGAUUCACUGGAGUAGCCUUGUUUAAAGCUUUUGCUUUCAUUGUUAUACUCAACUUGUCUCCAAUCAGUGUGUAUCCCACAGCCACAUGAAGAUUUCCAGGGAAUCCUUCUUCGCCAUCAGGACUGUGAUAGGUAAAGAUAAUGAAAGGGGCAUUGCUUUCUGGCUUAUAUUUUUUAACUUUCCAAACAACUUUGCUGAAUCCUUUAGGGCCACCAUGAAGCAUGUUCUUCCCUUCAUUAGGGACUAGUUUGUAAUGAGUUCCAUUCAAAGUAAAUUGAGCACCAGCAAUUCUAUUAGCAACCCUUCCAACAGUAGCUCCAAAGUACGAUGUGUCAUUCUUGUACUCCUCAGCAGAAUCAUAACCCAGAAGAACAUCUUCCAGCUUUCCAUUUUUGUCUGGAAGAAACAGAGAGAUGAUAUGGGCACCAUAGUUGGUGAGCUUCAUGGAGAUAUUUCCUUUCUUGAGCUCAUAUACUUUAAUCUUUUCCUCUUCCGAGCCAUUGAUGACCGACCCAAAAGCUACAAGAAUGCUAAUGCAAAACAAAACAGAGAAUUUACCCAUCUUUUCCACACACACAACACAGAAUAGAACAAGAAUAGUGAGAGAAUGUGAUGUAAGGAUAAGAAUUGUCUUCUUUAUAAGGUUAUAUAUGGAAUUAAUGAAUGCUGUAUAUGGCUUCUCUCAUCAUAUCAUUAUCAUAUAUAGAUUAGUAAAGCAAGGGAAAUGAGAGAUUUAUGGUCGUGCAUCGAAUUGGAGAGAGAGAGAGAGGAAUGGAAUGGAAAGGUAGUAAUGGGUUAUCCAAAAAUAUUUUCAAGCACAGCAACAACUUCCUUCUUUGAUCUCAUUUUCUGAAUCGGUGAUAGCCCAUUUGUUGACUUUCUAAGAGGGAACAAAUGUG